UGCAGUCGAACGGUAACAGGAAUUAGCUUGCUAAUUUGCUGACGAGUGGCGCACGGGUGCGUAACGCGUAUACAAUCUACCUUUUACAGUGGGAUAGCCUUUAGAAAUGAAGAUUAAUACCGCAUAGUAUGUUUAAAUGGCAUCAUUUAAAUAUUAAAGAUUUAUCGGUAAAAGAUGAGUAUGCGUUCUAUUAGCUAGAUGGUAAGGUAACGGCUUACCAUGGCAACGAUAGAUAGGGGCCCUGAGAGGGGGAUCCCCCACACUGGUACUGAGACACGGACCAGACUCCUACGGGAGGCAGCAGUGAGGAAUAUUGGACAAUGGGCGCAAGCCUGAUCCAGCCAUGCCGCGUGCAGGAAGACUGCCCUAUGGGUUGUAAACUGCUUUUAUACGGGAAGAAACACCGCUACGUGUAGCGGCUUGACGGUACCGUAAGAAUAAGGAUCGGCUAACUCCGUGCCAGCAGCCGCGGUAAUACGGAGGAUCCAAGCGUUAUCCGGAAUCAUUGGGUUUAAAGGGUCCGUAGGUGGAUAAUUAAGUCAGAGGUGAAAUCCUGCAGCUCAACUGUAGAAUUGCCUUUGAUACUGGUUAUCUUGAGUCAUUAUGAAGUGGUUAGAAUAUGUAGUGUAGCGGUGAAAUGCAUAGAUAUUACAUAGAAUACCAAUUGCGAAGGCAGAUCACUAAUAAUGUACUGACACUGAUGGACGAAAGCGUGGGGAGCGAACAGGAUUAGAUACCCUGGUAGUCCACGCCGUAAACGAUGGUCACUAGCUGUUCGAAUGCAGUCGAAAGUGGCU
Molecule: ribosomal RNA, 797 nt
Filed under: uncultured Flavobacteriaceae bacterium
Lineage: Bacteria; Pseudomonadati; Bacteroidota; Flavobacteriia; Flavobacteriales; Flavobacteriaceae
Description: bacterial SSU rRNA
Rfam family: Bacterial small subunit ribosomal RNA
Source: RNAcentral